CAAACAGGAAAUCGCUCUCUUCUUUAUUCAUCGCUGAGACGCUGAAUAGUCGAGAAUAGGACGCCAGAAGAGUAAGAGGUCCCUGGACCUUUCUCUGACUGGAUGAAUUUCGUGCAGCCCAGGGUGUCCUUCAACUCACAGAGAUCUGUCUGUCUCUGUCUCCCAAGUGCUGAGAUGAAAGGUGUGUGCCACCACUAGUGUGACUAGCUCUGCAUUCUGCAUCUUCAAGCAAACUUUGUUAGAUUAUAAACAAAAUAUCACCACAGGCAGUCAACCCAACAGUGUCCACAGUUUGUUCUGGCUCUGACAGCAGGAAAACAUCUCCAAGAAAGAACUAGAGCACUCCUCAAAAUCUUACCUGAUAGAGGCCACAAUUAUCCAAAAAGAAAGUCCAACUGUGCCAAGUGUCAGUCAAAUACUUAGGAGUGGUCCUAUUUAAAGGAAAGGGAAUUAAAAGAAGACCGUGUGCACUCUAUCUCUUCCUU
This 485-nucleotide long non-coding RNA is filed under the name Cricetulus griseus (Chinese hamster). Its description in RNAcentral is "lncRNA (ENSCGRG00015035082.1)". Lineage: Eukaryota; Metazoa; Chordata; Mammalia; Rodentia; Cricetidae. The record is from RNAcentral.